GAGAGAAUUCUACACCUACGGGCUCCACUUGACUUGCAAUGGUAAACAAGCUAUGGAUUUGAGGAGAAUUAGAGGAUAACCGCAAGGUGGUACAUAUAACCCAAGGUGGGCAAAUAUGGCCCACACAACAUAUACCAACAUGGCCAUACAUCACGCCAAUCAGCUCGUCUCCUUCCUCUGAGCUAAUCAUCUGGCAUGGUGCAUGGACUAGAUGAUUAGCAUAGUGCAUGGCCACAUACAAACGAUGUAGGGUAUAAUUUCUCUCCAUGGUGGGAUGAACACACCACAAAUAGUGCAAAUUAAAGUUGGACAAGUGACGCACAGAAAACCAUCAUCCUGUCAAACUAUGGAGCAAUACAUGCAAAGCUUUGCUAAAAUUUCAGCAAAUGAAAAUAAUAAUCAGUGAGCAAGUGUACUGAUACAGAAAAAGGCCUAGAAACAAUUUUCAAAGUAUACAUUCACAAGAUUCUGAUCUCCUUCUUUGGAUUCGUAAAGGAAAAAACCUGAACCUCAAAACACCCAGAGAGUUGUGGUUCAUAAAAGCCUAGAAAUAUUUCUCCAGGAUAACAAGUUCACAUCUAAAAUUCCAAUUUAAGCCACUUGUUGUAAUAGAUACAAGUCUUUGGUGAGAUAAUUCCAUCUGGUGUGCACUCGCUUAUCCGUGGGCAAACUCCACAAGGAAUUGAUGAAAAUGAA
Molecule: long non-coding RNA, 696 nt
Filed under: Phoenix dactylifera (date palm)
Lineage: Eukaryota; Viridiplantae; Streptophyta; Magnoliopsida; Arecales; Arecaceae
Description: long non-coding RNA (PDAC_LNC018767)
Source: RNAcentral